CCUUCUUAUUUUUCGCUCUCAAAAUGUUCAUGUUUCUUGUCUCCCAUUUCAAGUUAUUCUUCUUCUCCACAAUCAGAACACAACACCAUGUCUCUUCUAAUCAGCACAACAAAUGUGUCAGGCUUCCUCAUUUGCCCCUCAUUGCUUUCAAAUGGCAACGUUGUGGUUAACCCUCCAUCACGGCCAUCGUACGCCUCCUCGGAAUCGCUUGCGCCUCUAUCCCUUUCUCUCUCGCGCUCAACGCAACACCUAAACCCAAGCUGCCAUUUCUGGCGAUCCCACCGUUGUAGACAUCAACGACCACCUAUAGGUGCUCCUCCACUACCAAACCCUCGUGAACCGCCACACGUCAAUCGAUGAGCGUUCCUCCUCCGCAGUAGCCACCGCGAGCACCUCCUUGUUGCGCCUCACCUAGGGUUCUAACUGCAACUUGGUUGAGGGACCCUAAGCGCGCCCCCAACUCAUUCCCGAAGACGCAAAUUGAGAACACUUUUGAUGUUGCUUCCAAGUUCGCUAACGACGUCAUUAAACUUCCUUCAUCACCGGUGGGUCGAUUUACUCAAAUACUCUGUCGGAAUUGGAGCUUUUGCUUUUGGACCACAAUUUGUUGUAGAGGCUCUGGCUCCUGAUAAUCCUCCACUCAAGGGGUUCAAAGAUAUUUUCUACAUUUAUUAGAUUUCUGAAGAGCAAGGAUCCCAAUGACGGAACAGAACAAGCAUUACUAAGUGAACUGAGCUCUUUCAAUGAUUACAUAAAGGGCACUUUCAUAAACUGUAAUGAGAUAUCUGCAGUUGACCCAUCACUUGGACCAAAGUUAUACCAUUUGGAGAUCGCUCUGGGGCAUCAUAAGAAAUGGACAGUACCUGAUCCACUUACCUCUUUGAAGACUUAUACGAAGGUAUGUUCUAGACGAGCCUAUCUACUCAACAUCUCUACUUAAAGACACUUUUCAAGACUAAAAUUGUGUGCUUGCAUGAAGCUACUUACCGAAAGGUUUAUUCCAGAUCAGUAGGUUAAAUGAUUUCAUCUACAAUUAGAAGAAAAAUCACGUGCUUCUUAUAGUUGAAAUAUUUAAAUUCAUUUGUGAGGUUGACAUGUGUGUUAAAACAAGUUCACAUUUUUCAAAUUCUUGCAAAUCACACUUAUGUUAUUGAUUAUUUCACCUUAAUAUUUU
Molecule: long non-coding RNA, 1174 nt
Organism: Vigna angularis (adzuki bean)
Lineage: Eukaryota; Viridiplantae; Streptophyta; Magnoliopsida; Fabales; Fabaceae
Exons: 3
Source: RefSeq, a predicted model, not a curated record